This 507-nucleotide ribosomal RNA is filed under the name uncultured bacterium. RNAcentral's name for it is "bacterial SSU rRNA". It matches the Rfam family "Bacterial small subunit ribosomal RNA", at positions 26 to 518 of the family's 1533-position model. The record is from RNAcentral.
AGAACGAACGCUGGCGGCGCGUCUUAAGCAUGCAAGUCGGACGGCAAGGGUUGUGCUUGCACAACUCCUAGAGUGGCGGACUGGUGAGUAACGCGUGGGUGACCUGCCCUCGAGAUGGGGAUAGCCAUUAGAAAUAGUGGAUAAUACCGAAUACGCUCAUGACCCUGUGGGAUAUGAGGAAAACAGGCUACGGCCUGGCUCGAGGAUGGGCCCGCGUCCCAUUAGCUAGUUGGUGAGGUAACGGCCCACCAAGGCGACGAUGGGUAUCCGGCCUGAGAGGGUGUACGGACACAUUGGGACUGAGAUACGGCCCAAACUCCUACGGGAGGCAGCAGCUAAGAAUAUUCCGCAAUGGACGAAAGUCUGACGGAGCGACGCCGCGUGGAUGAAGAAAGGCCGGAAGGUCGUAAAAUCCUUUUGCUGAUGAAGAAUAAGUGUGGUAGGGAAUGACCGCAUGAUGACAUUAGUCGGUGAAUAAGCCCCGGCUAACUACGUGCCAGCAGCCGC